This is a long non-coding RNA of Siniperca chuatsi (mandarin fish), 2601 nucleotides long. RefSeq lists it as uncharacterized. The transcript is spliced from 2 exons. NCBI's taxonomy places the organism in Eukaryota, Metazoa, Chordata, Actinopteri, Centrarchiformes, Sinipercidae. The record is from RefSeq and is a predicted model, not a curated record.
CAAAGCAGAUCGCUUUACUACAGUCAACGAAAGGACUUCCUGUUUGUAUUUGUCAGGCUGUAAAACAUUCAUUGUGUCUGUAACCACAGUGUUUUAUACAGAGUUGCGAUCCAGACCUGUGAUAACGUCUGUUUCUGCAGAUAUCAGCUGGUUUACAGACUGCAGUGGGAACAAAACUGUAAUACAGCGACCGAAGGGAAGAAAGCUGAUGUGAAAAUACGACAACUUGUGGACAAUCGUUUUGCACGAGGGGACGUCCUGAUGGUUAAAACACAUACUGCAACGUCCUGGUUCAAUUCCAGCCAUGGAGCUUUGUUGCAUUUCAAUAUUCCUCCAUCAGUCAAUCCAUCUUUCUUAAUUGUCCUCAAGGGGUUAAUUUAGUUUGCAGCCGCGUGGCAUCAAUCCAUCACAGCACAGUAUACAGGCUCCGUGAGGCUGUAUUAGCUAAAAUGCUAACGUUAGCAGUAAGCACAGAGUGCAGCUGAGGCUGAUGGGAGCGUCAGCAGCUCUGCAGGUGUUCGGUCAGAAACCAAAGUGUCGGACGCGUUAACAUGUCGACCUGAUGGUGGCGCUAGAUGGAAAGUCAGAGGAUCAGCAGAAUUAUUACAGUUCAUCCUGAGGGGAGCAUGAGCGAUGAAGCACGUCUCAUCACAGUCCAGCAGCUGCUGAGACGCUUCGGUCUGGACCGACACACAGACAUCACCAACCACAGAGCCACAGCGCUAGUACGGCUGUUCGAACAACAAACCCAAAUGAUAAAAACACCAAAAGCCUGAAAAGCCGUCCAGUCCAGCUAAGGAAGAGGACUUUAACGGGCAGACGGCGACAAAAAUAAAUGACUUAGUGGUUUUAGUUCAGCUGGAAACCCUGAAGAGGACCAGAUGUCAGGAACCCGGACCAGGACAGACCCACUGGUUCUACAUGUCAAAGAGCUGAACUGACUUUGACAAGUCUCUAUUGUUACUGGACAGGCUGAGUUUUCCGUACGACACCACGAAACUCGACUGUCACCGUCAAAUAAAGACAAAAACAAAGUACUGAGUUCGUCCGAUCGUAGCAAGAGACGAGGGGACCAGAACUUCUUCUGCUGUCCACAUACUUUUGGCCAUAUCGUGUAUGUGACCUCCUGCUGUAAUGACACGAUGAAUGUGAAGCCCUGACGGUAAACGGUCACCUGACAGACAAACUGAGGGGAUUUAUUUAUAUUCAGACACCAGAAAGUGAGAAAACAAAACGGUUUGUUUAUAAAAGUUUUGGGGUUUUUCUUUAAAUCUGAGAUGAUGGAAGAGGAGAGGAGGACGGAGAGGAAGAUGUCGGUCUGUUGUGUUUUUAUGGAGCUCAGUUGUAAAUGAGACAGCUUUACUACCCCACACACACACACACACACACACACUGAUGAAGUGUGUGUCUCAUUUUAUGACAUCAGGUAUGUGUGUGUGUCAGCUGCAUAAAACUGAGGCCUUAAAAAAAUACUGCAACACACACAAAGACAGAUAAAAGAGGAAAAACCUGGUGGAAGUGAAAGAAGAAACAAAUGAUCGUCACGAGGAAGCAGAGAAGUCGAGCUGACGAUGUUUUAUGCUGCAGUAUAUAAACACACACACACACACACACACUCCUAUAGAGAAGCGGCUGACUGUGCAGAGUGUGUGUGCUGUAAAUAUUUAACACCUGUAAACUGCGUUCACCUGCAUGUUGAUGAACAGCUGGAGAACAGCUGGCCGCUUCCACUGAAGGAACUUAACAUGCGAGCCGGAGGCGCUGCGAGCCUUCGCUGCCGUUUCAGGCGCACGCCAUUAAACGGGCCACGGAGUCGUGGAGGUGACGGUGCGCAGACACACUGCAGGAUGAACGGCAGUCGUUUCUGAGCGUUUGUUCUUCAAAAUAAAAUAAAAUAUUUAUCGACGUAGCGUUUGCUCGUGCCGCUCAACACUCGAAACGUUACCUGAUUUUGAAACUAGCUACACUACCUGAACUUGGAGACGUGGUUCGCCACAGCGGCGUACACACAACCUACAGUUUACGCAGACAAACGCGGUAAAACCACGGGAGCGCAAAACAAAUCUGAGCGCCGCUCAACCUGCAGGUUACCGUCUCAAAGUGAGCUGGCAACAACGACGACACGUUUCACUGUCUGAAAACAAAGAUGGCCGUCAGGUACGAGCGUCAUGCUCGCUGACUUGCGCUCCCUUCACUCUCAGACAGAGAGACGAGCAACGGUCUGAGCAGGAGCUGCUGAGGUGCCCUGAAGCAAGGCACCAACCCUGCACGUCAACACUGUUGCCUAGCAACCGGUUAUAGGCAACAGCUUAUGACACUUGGAAACUGGCGGCGGAACACGCAGAAACACAUCAGCUGGCGAUGAUGAAGACGCCACGGGUCCGUGAGCAUCCGUACGUCAGCGCGCGUCUGAUCGACGGGACAAACGUUACGGCUAACUGCUGCUAACAACCUUGACCGCUGACUGGUCAGAGCAAAAUAACUCCCUCCCAAACAGGAAAACAGCUGACGUGAACACGACGUCACGCUGAAGAAUGAAGAGAAACGAAGCGGCGACUCAAUCAAUCAUAAAUAAACCUGCAGCACAGCAGCUUUUAAAGA